This 493-nucleotide ribosomal RNA is filed under the name uncultured bacterium. RNAcentral's name for it is "partial 16S ribosomal RNA". It matches the Rfam family "Bacterial small subunit ribosomal RNA", at positions 29 to 508 of the family's 1533-position model. The record is from RNAcentral.
AGUGAACGCUGGCGGUAGACCUAACACAUGCAAGUCGAACGGCAGCACAGUAAGAGCUUGCUCUUACGGGUGGCGAGUGGCGGACGGGUGAGGAAUACAUCGGAAUCUACUUUUUCGUGGGGGAUAACGUAGGGAAACUUACGCUAAUACCGCAUACGACCUACGGGUGAAAGCAGGGGAUCUUCGGACCUUGCGCGAUUGAAUGAGCCGAUGUCGGAUUAGCUAGUUGGCGGGGUAAAGGCCCACCAAGGCGACGAUCCGUAGCUGGUCUGAGAGGAUGAUCAGCCACACUGGAACUGAGACACGGUCCAGACUCCUACGGGAGGCAGCAGUGGGGAAUAUUGGACAAUGGGCGCAAGCCUGAUCCAGCCAUACCGCGUGGGUGAAGAAGGCCUUCGGGUUGUAAGGCCCUUUUGUUGGGAAAGAAAAGCAGCAGGUUAAUACCCCGCUGUUCUGACGGUACCCAAAGAAUAAGCACCGGCUAACUUCGUGC